GAUGAACGCUGGCGGCGUGCCUAAUACAUGCAAGUCGAGCGAACAGACGAGGAGCUUGCUCCUCUGACGUUAGCGGCGGACGGGUGAGUAACACGUGGAUAACCUACCUAUAAUACUGGGAUAACUUCGGGAAACCGGAGCUAAUACCGGAUAAUAUAUUGAACCGCAUGGUUCAAUAGUGAAAGACGGUUUUGCUGUCACUUAUAGAUGGAUCCGCGCCGCAUUAGCUAGUUGGUAAGGUAACGGCUUACCAAGGCAACGAUGCGUAGCCGACCUGAGAGGGUGGUCGGCCACACUGGAACUGAGACACGGUCCAGACUCCUGCGGGAGGCAGCAGUAGGGAAUCUUACGCAAUGGGCGAAAGCCUGACGGAGCAACGCCGAGUGAGUGAUGAAGGUCUUCGGAUCGUAAAACUCUGUUAUUAGGGAAGAACAAAUGUGUAAGUAACUAUGCACGUCUUGACGGUACCUAAUCAGAAAGCCACGGCUAACUACGUG
RNAcentral lists this ribosomal RNA (497 nucleotides) under uncultured bacterium. Its description in RNAcentral is "partial 16S ribosomal RNA". It matches the Rfam family "Bacterial small subunit ribosomal RNA", at positions 28 to 507 of the family's 1533-position model. The record is from RNAcentral.